RNAcentral lists this ribosomal RNA (253 nucleotides) under uncultured bacterium. RNAcentral describes it as "partial 16S ribosomal RNA". It matches the Rfam family "Bacterial small subunit ribosomal RNA", at positions 524 to 776 of the family's 1533-position model. The record is from RNAcentral.
UACGUAGGGUGCAAGCGUUGUCCGGAAUUAUUGGGCGUAAAGAGCUCGUAGGCGGUUUGUUAAGUCGAACGUGAAAUCCCUCGGCUUAACCGGGGAACUGCGUCUGAUACUGGAUGGCUUGAGUUCGGGAGAGGGAUGCGGAAUUCCAGGUGUAGCGGUGAAAUGCGUAGAUAUCUGGAGGAGGACCUGUGGCGAAGGCGGCAUCCUGGACGGGCGCUGACGCUGAGGAGCUGAAGGCAGGGGAGCAAACGGG